RNAcentral lists this unclassified non-coding RNA (345 nucleotides) under soil metagenome. RNAcentral's name for it is "partial contains 5.8S ribosomal RNA, internal transcribed spacer 2, and large subunit ribosomal RNA". The stretch from base 1 to 121 matches the Rfam family "5.8S ribosomal RNA", at positions 35 to 154 of the family's 154-position model. The record is from RNAcentral.
GAUGAAGAACGUAGCGAAAUGCGAUAAGUAAUGCGAAUUGCAGAAUUUCCGUGAGUCAUCGAAUCUUUGAACGCACAUUGCGCCCACUGGUAUUCCGGUGGGCAUGCCUGUUCGAGCGUCAUUAUCCUCCCUCAAACCCCGGGUUUGGUGUUGGACCCAAGUUGUGUGAACAACUGGUCUCAAAGACAAUGAUGGCGUCCGUGGGACCCUCGGUGCAACGAGCUUUUAGGAGCACGCAUCGAGUUGCAAGGACCUUCCGGGCCGGUCUCCUUUACCAUUUUACAAGGUUGACCUCGGAUCAGGUAGGAAUACCCGCUGAACUUAAGCAUAUCAAUAAGCGGAGGA